Molecule: non-coding RNA, 82 nt
Organism: Maylandia zebra (zebra mbuna)
Lineage: Eukaryota; Metazoa; Chordata; Actinopteri; Cichliformes; Cichlidae
Source: the annotation of a RefSeq genome assembly
GUUGUUGUGGUCGAGCGGGCAAGGCGAUGGAUUAGAAAUCCUUUGGGGUCUCCCCGCACAGGUUUGAAUCCUGUCGACAACG